GAUGAACGCUGGCGGCGUGCUUAACACAUGCAAGUCGAACGAUAAAGCCCAGCUUGCUGGGUGGAUUAGUGGCGAACGGGUGAGUAACACGUGAGUAACCUGCCCUUGACUCUGGGAUAAGCCCGGGAAACUGGGUCUAAUACCGGAUAGGAGCGCCUGUCGCAUGACGGGUGUUGGAAAGAUUUUUCGGUCAUGGAUGGACUCGCGGCCUAUCAGCUUGUUGGUGAGGUAAUGGCUCACCAAGGCGACGACGGGUAGCCGGCCUGAGAGGGUGACCGGCCACACUGGGACUGAGACACGGCCCAGACUCCUACGGGAGGCAGCAGUGGGGAAUAUUGCACAAUGGGCGGAAGCCUGAUGCAGCGACGCCGCGUGAGGGAUGACGGCCUUCGGGUUGUAAACCUCUUUCAGUAGGGAAGAAGCGAAAGUGACGUACCUGCAGA
RNAcentral lists this ribosomal RNA (443 nucleotides) under Micrococcus sp. oral taxon F54. RNAcentral's name for it is "bacterial SSU rRNA". It matches the Rfam family "Bacterial small subunit ribosomal RNA", at positions 28 to 485 of the family's 1533-position model. The record is from RNAcentral. Lineage: Bacteria; Bacillati; Actinomycetota; Actinomycetes; Micrococcales; Micrococcaceae.